RNAcentral lists this ribosomal RNA (264 nucleotides) under Harpiosquilla harpax. Its description in RNAcentral is "partial large subunit ribosomal RNA". It matches the Rfam family "Eukaryotic large subunit ribosomal RNA", at positions 77 to 317 of the family's 3401-position model. The record is from RNAcentral. Lineage: Eukaryota; Metazoa; Arthropoda; Malacostraca; Stomatopoda; Squillidae.
CCCCCAGUAAGGGCGACUGAACGGGGAGGAGCCCAGCGCGGAACCUCGCGCGCCUCACCGGCUGCGUCUGAGGAAUGUCGCGUUCCGGAGGGGCCUUCUCCGACCACACCGACCCCCCCCAAGUCCGCUUGAACGCGGCCACUGCCCAUGGAGGGUGCGAGGCCCGUACGGGGAUUAGGAGUCGGGCGGUCGGACGGCCCCGUCCGUAGAGUCGGGUUGCCUACUAACGCAGCCCAAAGCAGGUGGUAAACUCCAUCUAAGGCU